CCAAGUUGCUACUUGCUCAGUCCCCUGAACUUGGGUUAUUUCUGUGGUCAGAGCAAUUGCAACUUUUUCAGGUGCCAGGGCUGCAGUAGUUGGCAUUUUCCAGAAGAAUUCCAGGGCUGGCUGGCCUGGUCUCGUACAAAUCUAUCUGAUUCCACAUUGUCUUACACUGAAACGGAGGCCACCAACUCCCUCAUCACUGCUCCGGGUGAAUUCUCAGAUGGGAAGACUGCCCAUCUCUUCAUCACUGGUGUUCUUGGGGUUAAGAAUGAGACCUAAAGAUGGUAACCUAAAAUGUCUGUCGAUCCACGUUUUAACCAGUUGUCUCUACCUUGUCUUGUGGAAGUGAGUAAAGCCCAGUACAGCUCUUCAUCUCUCAUUUUAGCAAGGGAUCCUGUUCUCCCAGCUGCUGGGAGGCAGCAAAUGGAUGUGUUUGUAUACAUUUCUCUACAUGGGUUUCUCCUUCCGUCCCCACUCUGGGGAAGGAGCUAUGUGAAGGGUCAGAAGGGGGGGAAAUGGAGUGGGUGGAACAAGCUUUCAGGAGGGUCUGGUAAGGAGGGAGUUUGCCAGAGGCCAGUGGUUUCCCUGUCUUUCCUGGAGCGGCGGAGGCUGGGCUCCUUUGCAGAGAGAACACUAGUUUGGAGCUCCCACCCCUUGCAAUUAAGAGUUGGCCAUAGGGACAUUCCAAGAAUAUCUGAAUCAAGCUUUCCAUAAGAAAGAGGUUGGUGGUGACUUGGGGGCGUAGAGGGCCAGGAGGGACUUGGGUGCCAAGGUCUGUGGGACCCUUUGGGACAGCUGGGCCUUGUGGUCUGGCCCUAUGCUCCAUGAGGUGACAGCCCCCCAGGCUGGAGCUGCAUGGCUGGAUCUUGGCUUGAGGGCUUCUGUCUGCAUCUGAGCUGUCUUUCCUCUACCCCACGCUCAAGUCAUAAUA
This is a long non-coding RNA of Myotis brandtii (Brandt's bat), 928 nucleotides long. RefSeq lists it as uncharacterized. The record is from RefSeq and is a predicted model, not a curated record. NCBI's taxonomy places the organism in Eukaryota, Metazoa, Chordata, Mammalia, Chiroptera, Vespertilionidae. The transcript has 3 exons.